Molecule: long non-coding RNA, 562 nt
Organism: Vidua chalybeata
Lineage: Eukaryota; Metazoa; Chordata; Aves; Passeriformes; Viduidae
Exons: 5
Source: RefSeq, a predicted model, not a curated record
GUUCAUCCUGAAGCCCUGGGAAUUGAUUUGUCUGCAUUUUGUGAACCUGAGAUACAGAAGACCUCAUCAAUGCCUGGCAGUAUCAGCAGAUACUGGAUUUCUUGCUGGAGAAGGAAAGAAGUUGCCAUGACUACUCACCAAGUAAUACUCUAUUAUGUGCACUGGAGACACUAACUGCCCCCAUGUCAGAGAAUUGCUGAGAACCAGACCCAGAGAGGAUUGCCAAAUUUUCCACUGAAUGCCAGAGGAAGAAGCACUGUGCUGAGGAGGGACACGUGUUGGUGUUGCAAAGGUUUGUCUUUGCAAAGGAAAACAUCUUCAUUGCACAGAUGAAUUGGAUCAAACAUCUUUUUCCAUAUAGCUCAAUUUUCCACAAUGGAGUUACUCCUAGUUGACUACUCUGAGGAGAAAAUUGUAGUCAUUUUUGUGACUAGCAGCAGUUGAAAUGUUUUUUGGCAUGUAUGCAUAUAAUCUAUUAAUUUGCACUUCCUGUCAAUUGCAGGGAUUCAUGAUUAUAAAUAGUAUAAAAAUUUUUAAUGCAAAUAAAGAGAGAGAAAAUCCA